AUGUUUUCAUUCUCCAUUUUGCAUGGUAUAGUAAUUAGAAGGUUGAAAGUAGCUUCAGUAGUCCCAUUACUGUACAAUCCAACACCAUUCAGAUUAUCUCCUCAGGGAUGGAAGGGAAAAUCUCUAAAGCAAGUGAUGCAUUGUUUGCUUUAUGGAGCAAAAAACUUGAGCCUACCUUGUGCAAACUCAAGAAAGAAUAUAUUGAUACUAGAUGUUCAGAUGAUGAGCUGUGAUUGGACCGUCCUUCGGAUAGACGUGGUGUAAUUGGUGCUUCCAUAGUCUAUCACGUCUGGGGCAUUUCCCAUAGUGAGAUACCGAGUGAUUGUUUGAAAGAGAACAGUUAUUAUAUGUAUUGGCUGCCUCGCCAAAUCAUGCUCAAUUGCUUGCGUUUCUGUUUUAUUUAACAGUCUUUUGUGAACAUAUAUAUACUUUAAUAACAAAUAAUUGUGACACUUUACAAUAUGGUUCGAUUAGUUCAUGUUAAUGUAUUAAAGUAUAUUAAUCUGUUAGUUAAUUAUUGUAAAGUGCUACCUAAAUAAUAUUUCGAGCGUUCACUUGAAAAUAUAAACACGCAUGAUCUUACAAAGUAUGAACUGAACAUGUAUGCAGAUUUGUGCCAUUUAAAGUAACUGUCUGCCUAUGCUUGUUUUAUAGAAUCAAUGCUUAUGGUGUAAGUACCAGUAAUUACUGCGGGUGAAUGUAAAUGCUUCAUAUAUUUUCUGACUGGGUCACCCGAGGCAGAAAAGAGCAGGACAUGCAUGCAUGCAUGCAUUCUCUCUCUCUCUCUCUCUCUCUCUCUCUCUCUCUCUCUGUCUGUCUCUGAUGCACACACUCACACACACUCCAAAACCGAAAGGCGCUUUGUAAAUGUCAGUACACUAAGUCAGAAAAGCCCCAAGCUUUACAUCAACUGAUUUUUGUUUAGAAAUCUUCCAGAAAUAGCCUAUUUGUGAAAUCAGUUAAAAGAAAUUAUACAAAUUUAGCCAGCCCUAUCACCAUUCUGGUCACAUUAUUGCAUACUGUAUAAUAUGUGCAUGCAUAUGUAUUUAUGCAUAUACAAAUAAUUAUGCAUGAACAUAGUAUACAAUAUGCAAUAAAAACAAAAAUAAAAUGAUCUAUAAAUCAUAAUUAAGACAUUAAUUAAUUAAAAAUAAAAUCAACAAAUGGUAAAACAUGUAAAUGUGUCUCUGUGUUAAAGUAAUUUCAUUAAAUAAAUAAUAAAAAAAAAACAUUUAUAUUAGAUAAUUACUCAAUUUCAAUUCAAUUUAAUUCCAUAUUUUUAUUACAUUUCCUGCAAUCGAAUACUUACACUUAUUUAAAAAAAAAAAAACACUAAUAAAUACAGUUUAAAAUUAAAGCAUCACAAUAUUAUAAUGUGCAGUAUGAAAAAUGGAUUUUGAGAUUUGUUACAGAUUACAUUCAGCUGUAGUUAAAUGUUAUCUUUAAAAAAAAUUAAAAUCCAUUUUUCAUACUGCACUUUGUAAUACUGUGAUGCUUAAAUUUACCCCUAAAUUCAGCAUGUAAAAUGAUAUAUCAUUUUCAAUGUUUCAUUUAAAAGUUAAUUUAUCUGGACAAAUGGCAGGCCAAUAGAAUAUGAAAAAUUCACAUCCAGAAUAUUAAUAUCAGUGCACUGGUUCAUUAUAAAACAGCCCUCAUCAUCACUCAUUCCAUCGCUUCCCAAUCCUGUGAUUCCACAACCUGCAUAUAUGAGGUGAGCACCUACAAUCCCCCAGUUUACCGCUCUGCACGGACACUACAGGGCCCUUUUCCUGUUCACAUGUACAUGCAUGUAUGCAUGUUUAUUUAAUACAUCCCUAUGAGUCUGCCUCCUUUUAAACCCCAUGCAUCUCCUUUGUGCACCUCGUCGCUCAUGCCAGCUGCUCUCUGAAAGCCACAGGAGUUCCCGUAGUUUCCAAGCUUUAAUUAGCCUCGGAGGGUCAACACACCUUCAGGUGCUAUAGCGCACUCACACAUACCCGUGUAUGCAUUUUUCUUCUCACCAAAAUCAGCUGUAAUUUAGCUUUAUAUGGAAUCCAUGCAGGCUCUAUCUUCAUACUUUGCUUGCUCAUCUCCAACGUCUACAUGUGCAUUUGGGUUUAUUGAAAGUAAGGGUGCAGACAAAGGCAACAUUAUAGUGUCUAUUAUUAAUUGUGAGCUUCUGCCUCCCUUCUCUCAACAUCUCUAGAUUUGAAACAUCAGCAAAACACCUCGUCUGCACCCAGUCCCACACAUACUCCAGCUGGAGAACCUGAUAAUUGGCAUUUUGGUGUGUGUGUGUGUGUGUGUGUGUGUGUGUGUGUGUGUGUGUGUGAAAGGGCUUGCACAAAUAUUAACUACUUUUCUACUAUUAUUAUUAUUAUUAAUAUUAACUACUUGCACAAAUAUUAACUACUUAUCAACUACUUUUCUACAAAAGUACAGUAGUUGACUAGUUAGUGUUUACCUCAUGUAAAUGGCUGCCUUCGGUGUUUCUGGUCCAACGCUGUGCUGAUGGAGUGUGUGUGAAUGAAAGUGCAUUUAUGUCCAUUAUUAGAUUCACACUACAAAAAAAAAAAAAAUUGCUUCUAAGUAUUUGUCUUGUUUUCCUGUAAAUAGAUUUAAACAUACAAAACACACUGCCACUGACAAACUUCAGUAAAAAAAAAAAAAAUAAAUUAAAAAAAAAUAAUAAUAAUACUCACUUCAAACAAUAAAAUUUAUAAUACCUGGAGAAACUAACGUUAGCAUUCCCAUUCAUCUCAAGGGCAGUUAGCAACUGGUGGGUACAGGAUCCUCAUAAGUAGACAAUUUGACAUCUGCCAACUUUUUGCUCACAAAACCACAGAAGCUUCUUGGCCAAUCACCUGGGGAAAUAAUAAAUGAAUGAAUGAAUGAAUGAAUGAAUGAAUGAAUGAAUGUUAACAUAUAAAUUACAUUUUAAAAUAUAUAUAUAAAAAUAUAACUUGUUUAAUAAUUAACUAAAAAUAAAUACAUAAAUAAAGAAAAAAAUGUCCUAACAGAUUAUAAAAAAAUAGUUUGAAUAAUAUAAUAUAAUCAAAUGGCUAAUAUUAUUAAUAUAUUUUAUAAUUCAGUAAAAUAUAACCUAAUAAUAAAAAAAUGAAUAUAUAUCAUGUUUUAAAAUAUAACAUAAUAGAAUACAACAUAAUAUCAAAUAUGGCUAAUUUUGAAUGGUAACUAACGGAGAAAGAUGCUCUUUAAAACCAAAUGCUCCAUCAAAUAUGAAAAGCCUUUUUUAUCAUUUACUCAUAGUCAUGUCUUUUGAACCCCAUGACUUUCUUCAGUGAGACACAAAUUUAUGUAUAGUUUAUUUAUCAUUUAGAAUCGUAUGUUGUAGUUAUAGUACAUGUAUAAGCUUUUUUUCCAGUUAAUGAAAGUGAAUGGCAACCAUGUUUGACGAGCGAGAUUUUCAGUGAACAGUGAUUUAUUUCCCACACAAGUUAAUGUAUGACUUCUGAAGACUUGGAAUAUAGUGUGUGAGUCAUAACGACUACUUUUAUGAUGGUAUUUUGUCCUUUUUGGAUCAUGACUUUCUGGUCUCCAUCCACUUUAACUGUAUAGAUGAAAGAUUCAGAAGAACCUCUCUUGUGGCGUUUCACAGAAGAAAGGAAGUUAUACAGCAUGAAUGUAUGAUGAUGAAAUUAUUAUUUUUAGGUGAACUAUCCCUUUAAAGAUAAAAGGUGACAAAUUCCUCCCCUAAUGGCACUUGUUCUGAAACGAAUAAAUCAACGGCGUCAAACCCGUUGCCAAAGUAUGAUUUAUGCAUUUCUCUCUCCCUGAGCAUCUUCCACGCCAUCCAUCAUAUUCAGCAAAAUCCCAAAGAACACGGGUUAAAUCAUCUUCACCUCAUCUCUCCUUACGCAUCUGGAGUGUGUUGAGGGGGUGGGACAUCUCUGAAGUUGAAUAAUAAUCGAAAUGUCAUUAAUCAUCAGUCCACACUCCAUCUCUUUCUACGGCUGUCUCUCUCAGAAAGUCUAGAAAGGUGCGUCCUGUCUGUCUGGCGUGGAUGUCGCUCUCCGUCAUUUCCCAGUACACCCACAUGUUUACUGUUGACUGGCUGUGUUUCUCCAUUCGUGCCGGGAGCCUUGGUGACUGUGCACAUGAGUGCUCUCUUGCACGUCACACGGAAAUAUCCAUCCUCCCCAAGGCUUUCAGCAGCUUGAGGGUUUGACACCAAGAUGUAUGGGAUGUUCAUGGUCCGCUUGGCCUGCUGUUCCCAAACUGUACAGCAUGCGAGAAGUCAGUCGCUAAAGGAGUAAGUUUCCAUGUAACUUCUGCUUGAUGGCUCUGCUCUGGAUUCUCAUUGGAUGAGCCAAAUUCAAGAACAGAUACAUGCACACCCCUACGAAUGCACAUUGAAUUCUGAAUAAAUAUGAAAAAAAAUAGUAACAAU
Long non-coding RNA from Cyprinus carpio carpio, 4390 nucleotides. The record is from Ensembl. Lineage: Eukaryota; Metazoa; Chordata; Actinopteri; Cypriniformes; Cyprinidae.